AUACGUAGGUGGCAAGCGUUAUCCGGAAUUAUAGGGCGUAAAGCGCGCGUAGGCGGUUUUUUAAGUCUGAUGUGAAAGCCCACGGCUCAACCGUGGAGGGUCAUUGGAAACUGGAAAACUUGAGUGCAGAAGAGGAAAGUGGAAUUCCAUGUGUAGCGGUGAAAUGCGCAGAGAUAUGGAGGAACACCAGUGGCGAAGGCGACUUUCUGGUCUGUAACUGACGCUGAUGUGCGAAAGCGUGGGGAUCAAACAGGAUUAGAAACCCUAGUAGUCC
This 274-nucleotide ribosomal RNA is filed under the name uncultured bacterium. RNAcentral describes it as "partial 16S ribosomal RNA". It matches the Rfam family "Bacterial small subunit ribosomal RNA", at positions 523 to 796 of the family's 1533-position model. The record is from RNAcentral.